Molecule: long non-coding RNA, 263 nt
Filed under: Elaeis guineensis (African oil palm)
Lineage: Eukaryota; Viridiplantae; Streptophyta; Magnoliopsida; Arecales; Arecaceae
Description: long non-coding RNA (EGUI_LNC018057)
Source: RNAcentral
AUUUUGAUUGUUAUUAAUAUACUAAUAGAGAUCCACGUCAAACCCCCACCAUUUCAAGGUGCUUUUUUAUUUUUAUAAAAAAAAUUUAAUAUUUUAUAUUUAAUUUUGCUCCUUAAUCUUUUUUUAAUUUAUAAAAAAUUAUAUUUUUAAAUUUAAAAAAUAGAUAGGACCAGCACGUGGGCCAUGUCGGAACUCUUAUGGGCCAUGCCGGGCCUGGGCCAUGGGUUGCAAACCCUCAGCCCAACCCAGCCCCAUUAAUGGGC